GUUGCAGGGGUUCCGAGGCGGACCUGGGGAGCAGAAACCCCUGUUUAGGGUGAACCGUGGCGGGCGCCGAUGGCCUCUUGGAAGAGGACAGACUAGCAGCUGCGAGGGAGAUGGGACUGGGUUUCACCCCUGAAAGGGCCCCUGGAGACAGCGGGUGAGGGACAGGGGAAGGGGCUGGUGGUCCUCUCUCCCGAGGCCCCGCACCAUCACACGGAUGACUUGGCACAAUAGCUGCUGGGCCAGUGUUGUCGCCUGUGACUGUACUUUAGGGAAACUGACAGGGAGAUCAUGAUGUCGCCAUUUUGAUGGGGUCCCCAGAGGAGAGAUGUCCUCCCCAACGGCUCCUGGACAGGACUGGGGAAAGAGUUCAGAUAAGUAUCUCUGUGGUCUGGGCUGUCACCUUACAACUGCACAACUCUGGACCUCCAGCAUCAGAACCACUGGGGCCUAGGUUAAUAAUACAGAUUUUCAGGCUCCAAUUUGGACAGACGAAACUGAUCUCUGGGGUGGGACCCAGGAAUCUACGUGUAAACAAGCACCCAGGGGAGUUCUGCUCACUGAAAUUUGAGAAUCCCUGAUUUAGAAGGAGGACUAUGCUCUGUGCAUGUUCUCUGAAAUGUUGGGUCAAUCAGGACCUGUCUACUGAAACUGCUCCAACCAGCCAAGGUGCAGAGAAAAGAUGCGUGCAGGGCCGAAAACCAGGGUGCUCUGGAGGCAGGGAGCCCUCGAGAAUGUAAAGCCAGCAAGCUGUUACAGAGUGAUUUGCACAGAACAGACACUCAGUUGAUAUUUGUCAAUUUGCUGUGUUUAAGAACCUUGCUGAAUUAAUUUAAAAGGUAUUUUUAAAAGAAUGAAAUUGAGGAAAAAACCUUCAAGGUUCAGAAAAUGUGAAGUUCUCAUUUACUUGUUUAUGAAAUUGUUUUUGAGUCCAAUAAAGAUGCUCAGCUAAAAUGGUUUUUUUGUUUUAAAUCUCAGAAUUAAGUUUCUCUUAGUUUUGGGCAGUUCGGUCCAGCUACUUGCAAAAGACAGGCUUCCAUAUCUCCUGUAUGCAGCCCUGAAGGACCCAACAGAAGUAAAAUAGUUAUUUAAGGAAUGCAAAGGACUAGGGACAGGAUGCAGAUUAAAAUGUUUAAGAUGAUGUCUGCAGAUGAUGUUUGUAGAUGCUUAAGUUUGUUGAAUUCUUAGUCUUCCUCACAAAGCAGCUAAUUACUUUCAAGACUCUAGUGAGCCUCAAUUUACUCCAAUUUAUGAUUUCCAAUGGUUCUGCAUAAAACUGGGUUGCCGUUUUAUGAAAUUGUUUGCAUCUGCUUGACGUGGGCGCAAACUUCACAGUGAGGAGAUAAUGUGAGGGUUUUGCCUUCUUGCAAAACAACUUACAUAUAUAUGUGAAAAAACUGGGGUUGGGGUUUGAAUUAUGUGGACUGCCUGUGCGUAGUAAGCUCUCUGGUCAGUUACCUAUUUGGCUUUGUGUGGACACAGCUCUUAGGAGGGAGGGUGGUGGAAUUCCUGCUCAUUACCUAUAGUAUCUUGCAGGAGGGCUGCUGAACGCCGGAGCCUUACAACUGUUAAACUCAGGCAGAGCUCGGGAAAUGCUGCCCGGAUGGGUGACUGAUGGAGAGGGGCUACCACUCUUCCAGCUAAACUCCGCUCUGGUUGGGACCCAGCAAUUAUUUUCCAUAGCGAAGUGUUAAUAAAAUAUCUGUUACUCCCAACACAACCUCCUGGGGGAAGGGACCUGUCUGUCUGCUUCAACUUUGGAUCCUCAGUGCCCACAUCAGGAUACCUGGCCUGAGAGAGGGUCCUGCCGGUAUUACCCUGGAGGAAGGAAUGCUGCACAGAGGCCGAGAGGAAUUUGAACAGACUGGCCUUGCUGGGUUUUUAUCUCUUUUUGUCCAAUCCCAUUUUGACACAGUUGUCCAUGCUCCAAUCAUGCUUAUCCAAUGAAGUUUCCAUAACAGGCCUGAGAGGACAGGGUUCAGGAGCUUCCGGACAGCUGAGCAGGUGGAGGUUCCUGGAGGGUGGUGUGCCAGGGAGGGUGUGGAAGCUCUGCCCCUUCCCCCAUACCUUGUCCUAUGCAUUCCUUUAUCUGCAUCCUUCAUUUUAUUUUAUUUUUUUUUGAGACGGAGUCUUGCUCUUGUCGUCCAGGCUGGAAUGCAGUGGUGCGCGA
RNAcentral lists this long non-coding RNA (2167 nucleotides) under Homo sapiens (human). Its description in RNAcentral is "HSALNT0290406". The record is from RNAcentral. Lineage: Eukaryota; Metazoa; Chordata; Mammalia; Primates; Hominidae.